This 497-nucleotide ribosomal RNA is filed under the name uncultured bacterium. RNAcentral's name for it is "partial 16S ribosomal RNA". It matches the Rfam family "Bacterial small subunit ribosomal RNA", at positions 28 to 507 of the family's 1533-position model. The record is from RNAcentral.
GACGAACGCUGGCGGCGUGCCUAAUACAUGCAAGUUGAGCGCUGAAGGUUGGUACUUGUCCCAACUGGAUGAGCAGCGAACGGGUGAGUAACGCGUGGGGAAUCUGCCUUUGAGCGGGGGACAACAUUUGGAAACGAAUGCUAAUACCGCAUAAAAACUUUAAACACAAGUUUUAAGUUUGAAAGAUGCAAUUGCAUCACUCAAAGAUGAUCCCGCGUUGUAUUAGCUAGUUGGUGAGGUAAAGGCUCACCAAGGCGAUGAUACAUAGCCGACCUGAGAGGGUGAUCGGCCACAUUGGGACUGAGACACGGCCCAAACUCCUACGGGAGGCAGCAGUAGGGAAUCUUCGGCAAUGGACGAAAGUCUGACCGAGCAACGCCGCGUGAGUGAAGAAGGGUGUCGGAUCGUAAAACUCUGUUGGUAGAGAAGAACGUUGGCGAGAGUGGAAAGCUCAUCAAGUGACGGUAACUACCCAGAAAGGGACGGCUAACUACGUG